UACCAGACUCCUACGGGAGGCAGCAGUGAGGAAUAUUGGUCAAUGGCCGAGAGGCUGAACCAGCCAAGUCGCGUGAGGGAAGACGGCCCUACGGGUUGUAAACCUCUUUUGUCGGGGAGCAAAGCGAACCACGUGUGGUUCAUUGAGAGUACCCGAAGAAAAAGCAUCGGCUAACUCCGUGCCAGCAGCCGCGGUAAUACGGAGGAUGCGAGCGUUAUCCGGAUUUAUUGGGUUUAAAGGGUGCGCAGGCGGAAUGUCAAGUCAGCGGUAAAAUUUCGGGGCUCAACCCCGUCGUGCCGUUGAAACUGGCGUUCUUGAGUGAGCGAGAAGUAUGCGGAAUUCGUGGUGUAGCGGUGAAAUGCUUAGAUACCACGAAGAACCCCGAUUGCGAAGGCAGCCUGCCGCAGCGUUACUGACGCUGAAGCUCGAAAGCGCGGGUAUCGAACAGGAUUAGAUACCCUUGUAC
Molecule: ribosomal RNA, 466 nt
Filed under: uncultured bacterium
Lineage: Bacteria
Description: bacterial SSU rRNA
Rfam family: Bacterial small subunit ribosomal RNA
Source: RNAcentral